Molecule: signal recognition particle RNA, 96 nt
Filed under: Acholeplasmataceae bacterium
Lineage: Bacteria; Bacillati; Mycoplasmatota; Mollicutes; Acholeplasmatales; Acholeplasmataceae
Also listed under: 1 other name
Description: signal recognition particle sRNA small type
Rfam family: Bacterial small signal recognition particle RNA
About the family: The signal recognition particle (SRP) is a universally conserved ribonucleoprotein involved in the co-translational targeting of proteins to membranes. Archaeal SRP consists of a 7S RNA and homologues of the eukaryotic SRP19 and SRP54 proteins.
Source: RNAcentral
GAGGUAUCACUAUUCAACUUAUCUGGGGUGAACCGGGUCAGGACUUGACUGAAGCAGCCCUAAGCUUUCAGUAAGUGUGGGUAGUGAUACUUGAAG